RNAcentral lists this unclassified non-coding RNA (349 nucleotides) under soil metagenome. RNAcentral describes it as "partial contains 5.8S ribosomal RNA, internal transcribed spacer 2, and large subunit ribosomal RNA". The stretch from base 1 to 120 matches the Rfam family "5.8S ribosomal RNA", at positions 35 to 154 of the family's 154-position model. The record is from RNAcentral.
GAUGAAGAACGUAGCGAAAUGCGAUAACUAAUGUGAAUUGCAGAAUUCCGUGAAUCAUCGAGUCUUUGAACGCACAUUGCGCCCCCUGGUAUUCCGGGGGGCAUGCCUGUCCGAGCGUCAUUGCUGCCCAUCAAGCACGGCUUGUGUGUUGGGUCCUCGUCCCCCCCGGGGGACGUGCCCGAAAGGCAGCGGCGGCACCGCGUCCGGUCCUCGAGCGUAUGGGGCUUUGUUACCCGCUCUGCAGGCCCGGCCGGCGCUGGCCGACGCGAAAGCAACCAUUUUUUCUCCAGGUUGACCUCGGAUCAGGUAGGGAUACCCGCUGAACUUAAGCAUAUCAAUAAGCGGAGGA